RNAcentral lists this ribosomal RNA (1506 nucleotides) under metagenome. Its description in RNAcentral is "bacterial SSU rRNA". It matches the Rfam family "Bacterial small subunit ribosomal RNA". The record is from RNAcentral.
AGAGUUUGAUCAUGGCUCAGGACGAACGCUGGCGGCGUGCCUAAUACAUGCAAGUAGAACGCUGAAGAGAGGAGCUUGCUCUUCUUGGAUGAGUUGCGAACGGGUGAGUAACGCGUAGGUAACCUGCCUUGUAGCGGGGGAUAACUAUUGGAAACGAUAGCUAAUACCGCAUAACAAUGGAUGACACAUGUCAUUUAUUUGAAAGGGGCAAUUGUUCCACUACAAGAUGGACCUGCGUUGUAUUAGCUAGUAGGUGAGGUAAUGGCUCACCUAGGCGACGAUACAUAGCCGACCUGAGAGGGUGAUCGGCCACACUGGGACUGAGACACGGCCCAGACUCCUACGGGAGGCAGCUGUAGGGAAUCUUCGGCAAUGGGGGCAACCCUGACCGAGCAACGCCGCGUGAGUGAAGAAGGUUUUCGGAUCGUAAAGCUCUGUUGUAAGUCAAGAACGGGUGUGAGAGUGGAAAGUUCACACUGUGACGGUAGCUUACCAGAAAGGGACGGCUAACUACGUGCCAGCAGCCGCGGUAAUACGUAGGUCCCGAGCGUUGUCCGGAUUUAUUGGGCGUAAAGCGAGCGCAGGCGGUUUGAUAAGUCUGAAGUUAAAGGCUGUGGCUCAACCAUAGUUCGCUUUGGAAACUGUCAAACUUGAGUGCAGAAGGGGAGAGUGGAAUUCCAUGUGUAGCGGUGAAAUGCGUAGAUAUAUGGAGGAACACCGGUGGCGAAAGCGGCUCUCUGGUCUGUAACUGACGCUGAGGCUCGAAAGCGUGGGGAGCGAACAGGAUUAGAUACCCUGGUAGUCCACGCCGUAAACGAUGAGUGCUAGGUGUUGGAUCCUUUCCGGGAUUCAGUGCCGCAGCUAACGCAUUAAGCACUCCGCCUGGGGAGUACGACCGCAAGGUUGAAACUCAAAGGAAUUGACGGGGGCCCGCACAAGCGGUGGAGCAUGUGGUUUAAUUCGAAGCAACGCGAAGAACCUUACCAGGUCUUGACAUCCCGAUGCUAUUUCUAGAGAUAGAAAGUUACUUCGGUACAUCGGUGACAGGUGGUGCAUGGUUGUCGUCAGCUCGUGUCGUGAGAUGUUGGGUUAAGUCCCGCAACGAGCGCAACCCCUAUUGUUAGUUGCCAUCAUUCAGUUGGGCACUCUAGCGAGACUGCCGGUAAUAAACCGGAGGAAGGUGGGGAUGACGUCAAAUCAUCAUGCCCCUUAUGACCUGGGCUACACACGUGCUACAAUGGUUGGUACAACGAGUUGCGAGUCGGUGACGGCGAGCUAAUCUCUUAAAGCCAAUCUCAGUUCGGAUUGUAGGCUGCAACUCGCCUACAUGAAGUCGGAAUCGCUAGUAAUCGCGGAUCAGCACGCCGCGGUGAAUACGUUCCCGGGCCUUGUACACACCGCCCGUCACACCACGAGAGUUUGUAACACCCGAAGUCGGUGAGGUAACCUUUUGGAGCCAGCCGCCUAAGGUGGGACAGAUGAUUGGGGUGAAGUCGUAACAAGGUA